AUUGAACGCUGGCGGCAUGCCUUACACAUGCAAGUCGAACGGCAGCACGGGUGCUUGCACCUGGUGGCGAGUGGCGAACGGGUGAGUAAUACAUCGGAACGUACCUUAUCGUGGGGGAUAACGCAGCGAAAGCUGUGCUAAUACCGCAUACGCCCUGAGGGGGAAAGCGGGGGAUCACAAGACCUCGCGCGAUUAGAGCGGCCGAUGCCUGAUUAGCUUGUUGGUGGGGUAAAAGCCCACCAAGGCGACGAUCAGUAGCUGGUCUGAGAGGACGAUCAGCCACACUGGGGCUGAGAAACGGCCCAGACUCCUACGGGAGGCAGCAGUGGGGAAUUUUGGACAAUGGGGGCAACCCUGAUCCAGCAAUGCCGCGUGAGUGAAGAAGGCCUUCGGGUUGUAAAGCUCUUUUGUCAGGGAAGAAACACCGGCUCUAACACAGUCCGGGAAUGACGGUACCUGAAGAAUAAGCACCGGCUAACUACGUGCCAGCAGCCGCGGUAA
Molecule: ribosomal RNA, 501 nt
Filed under: uncultured bacterium
Lineage: Bacteria
Description: partial 16S ribosomal RNA
Rfam family: Bacterial small subunit ribosomal RNA
Source: RNAcentral